GAGGGUGUAGCUCAGUGGUAGAGCGUGUGCUUAGCAUGCACCCAAGGUCCUGGGUUCAAUCCCCAAUACCUCCA
This 74-nucleotide transfer RNA is filed under the name Camelus bactrianus (Bactrian camel). It matches the Rfam family "tRNA". Rfam says of the family: Transfer RNA (tRNA) molecules are approximately 80 nucleotides in length. Their secondary structure includes four short double-helical elements and three loops (D, anti-codon, and T loops). RNAcentral also lists the same sequence under 1 other name. The record is from Rfam by way of RNAcentral. Lineage: Eukaryota; Metazoa; Chordata; Mammalia; Artiodactyla; Camelidae.